GAGUUUGAUCUUGGCUCAGAUUGAACGCUGGCGGCAUGCCUUACACAUGCAAGUCGAACGGCAGCACGGGAGCUUGCUCCUGGUGGCGAGUGGCGAACGGGUGAGUAAUGCAUCGGAACGUAUCCUGGAGUGGGGGAUAACGUAGCGAAAGUUACGCUAAUACCGCAUAUUCUGUGAGCAGGAAAGCGGGGGACCUUCGGGCCUCGCGCUCUUGGAGCGGCCGAUGUCGGAUUAGCUAGUUGGUAAGGUAAAGGCUCACCAAGGCGACGAUCCGUAGCAGGUCUGAGAGGAUGAUCUGCCACACUGGAACUGAGACACGGUCCAGACUCCUACGGGAGGCAGCAGUGGGAAUUUUGGACAAUGGGGGCAACCCUGAUCCAGCCAUGCCGCGUGAGUGAAGAAGGACCUCGG
Molecule: ribosomal RNA, 411 nt
Filed under: bacterium enrichment culture clone ALO1_GLFRUDD03HBUA0
Lineage: Bacteria
Description: bacterial SSU rRNA
Rfam family: Bacterial small subunit ribosomal RNA
Source: RNAcentral